CUACGGGGGGCUGCAGUGGGGGAUAUUGCACAAUGGAGGGAACUCUGAUGCAGCGACGCCGCGUGAACGAAGAAGGUCUUCGGAUUGUAAAGUUCUGUCCUUGGUGAAGAUAAUGACGGUAAUCAAGGAGGAAGCCCCGGCUAACUACGUGCCAGCAGCCGCGGUAAUACGUAGGGGGCAAGCGUUGUCCGGAAUUAUUGGGCGUAAAGGGUACGUAGGCGGAUCAUUAAGUCUAUUGUGAAAGCCAGGGGCUCAACCCCUGUAAGCAGUAGAAACUGGUGACCUUGAGUGAUAGAGGGGACAGUGGAAUUCCUAGUGUAGCGGUGAAAUGCGUAGAGAUUAGGAGGAAUACCGGUGGCGAAGGCGACUGUCUGGAUAUCAACUGACGCUGAGGUACGAAAGCGUGGGGAGCAAACAGGAUUAGAUACCCUAGUAGUC
Molecule: ribosomal RNA, 438 nt
Filed under: uncultured bacterium
Lineage: Bacteria
Description: bacterial SSU rRNA
Rfam family: Bacterial small subunit ribosomal RNA
Source: RNAcentral